RNAcentral lists this ribosomal RNA (565 nucleotides) under Afissa orthofasciata. RNAcentral's name for it is "Epilachna orthofasciata partial 16S ribosomal RNA". The record is from RNAcentral. Lineage: Eukaryota; Metazoa; Arthropoda; Insecta; Coleoptera; Coccinellidae.
UUAUAAAAAAAAUACUUGAUCCUUUCGUACUAAAAUAUUUUUUUUUUUAAAGAUAGAAACCAACCUGGCUUACACCGGUUUAAACUCAGAUCAUGUAAAAUUUUAAAGGUCGAACAGACCUAAUUUUUUAGCUUCUACACCAAAAAUAAAUUUUAAUCCAACAUCGAGGUCGCAAUCUUUUUUUUCAAUAAGAACUUUCAAAAAAAAUUACGCUGUUAUCCCUAAGGUAAUUUAAUCUUUUAAUCAUUUUUAUGGAUCAAUUAUUCAUGAAUUAAUGUUUAAAUAAAAAAAAAGUUAAUUUAAUUUUUUUGUCACCCCAACCCAAUUAAAAAUAAUAUUAAAAAAUUUAAAUUCUAAAACUUAUAAAAUUAUUUUUAAUAAAACUCUAUAGGGUCUUCUCGUCUUUUAAAAUUAUUUAAGCUUUUUUACUUAAAAAUAAAAUUUUAAAUUAUUAAAACUGAGACAGAUACUUUCUCAUCAAACCAUUCAUACAAGCUUUCAAUUAAAAAACUAAUGAUUAUGCUACCUUUGCACAGUCAAAAUACUGCGGCCCUUCAAAAAUUUC